CCUGUAUUUUUGUGUGUGUCUUCUGCUACCUGCUUAAAGAAUGACUUAGGCACACGCUGCCAGUCGAGCGCCAGUCCGAAGCGACGCUCCCUGACGGUAUUGCUACUGUUCUGUGCUCACCAGGUGCCUAGUCGAGACCUGUCACAUCAGCUUCCCCCACUCACCCCCUCCCAGCACUGCAGGUUCACACCAGGUUACUUGCUCUGGGAAGGGCCAGCUGCCAUGUUGUGAGCAGUCCCAAGGAGAGGCCACAUGGUGAGGAGCUCAAGUCUCUGACCUACAGCCAGCAGGGGACUGAGGUCUGUCAACAGUCAUGGGAGUGAGCUCGGAAGCAGCCCCGGCUGAAUCCUGAGAUGACUGCUUCCCCAGCCACAGGGAAGACCCUCAGCCAGGACCACCCAGCUAAGCCAAUCCCAGAUUCCUGACCCAUAGACACUGAGGGAGGACCUGUUGAAGGCUCUAAGUUUGAGAGUGAUUUGUUACACACCAUGGAUGACUAAUAUACCAACGCUCCAACCUUGUGUCCUUAGGUCCCAGUUUGUUCAAACCAUUUACCUUCGAGACACAAUUCCCAGACCGAUUGAUACGGAAGGAAGAUGUUGCCAUAACUUCUACUUAUUACUGAGUCUUACCAUGUAUGUAAUUCUUUUGCCAGGAGAUCCAACACACAGAAGAGUGUCUGGCAAUAGGAAAGGUCCAGUAAAUAUUUUCUGCAUUAAUGAUACAAAGAUUCACAAGAUCAAACCUCCAGUCAAACUCCAAGAAAACCACUCAAUCUGAAAGAAUAUUGACAAGAAUGUGUCAUAAGUUAAAUGAUAAGCAAGCACUAAAUGGUGCCCAGAAAGGCUCACGAAAUUCUACACGGUUUCCCAAUACCAUCUCCAUCCCGGGUCCCACUGUUCCUCUGAGGUAGUCCUUCAUGGAGAGUUUGGUUCCACUCUAGGUGGUGAGGACUCACCUGAUGGCUUUCUACCUGGGCUUCAGUCAUUCCUCCAGCUUGGUCUUCCUUGUUGGCUUCCUUACAUGUCUGGGAGACUCAGUGUUCCACUCAAGUCACCUGAUGUGGCUCUUCCUGGCAGGAGCCACAGCUCCAGCUAUAAUAUACUGGACAUGUAUACCCUUCUUUGGGGUUGAUUUUAGUGAUUCGCUUAUUAAGCACCACCCUCACAGUGUGACACCACCCAUCACCUUUGACAUUCAGCUUCUGACCUGGGCUUCAAGAAAA
Long non-coding RNA from Balaenoptera ricei (Rice's whale), 1225 nucleotides. RefSeq lists it as uncharacterized. Lineage: Eukaryota; Metazoa; Chordata; Mammalia; Artiodactyla; Balaenopteridae. The record is from RefSeq and is a predicted model, not a curated record. The transcript has 3 exons.